Molecule: non-coding RNA, 574 nt
Organism: Xyrichtys novacula (pearly razorfish)
Lineage: Eukaryota; Metazoa; Chordata; Actinopteri; Labriformes; Labridae
Source: the annotation of a GenBank genome assembly
CAUAAUUUGUGUUGCCAGGUACUGAAGUUCUACAUGGUGUCCAAAGAUCCAGGUGGCUUUAGCUGAGGAGAUGGGAGGACACCGACUUGUUGAAACUACAGACUUGAACACUGAUUGUGAACCUUUAAAGCAACCAAACAUUAACUUUUUGUUUGGACCAACCAAACAAAAUAAAGAAAACAAUUAAAAUUCAACAAUCUGAACUCACAGAUGAAGCUUGGACCACAAUGCUGUCCAGAGCGAACAAAGCCGGUAGCCGGGCAGAUCGAUGUACAGGUGGGCUCACCCAUCGUUGGUCCCAAGAACCAACGAGUCCAUGUUAUGCAUCCCUGUAGUAAAAAUAUAUUACUGCUGUUCAUUUAGUUCAUUUUUAAAGCUUGUAAUAAAAAAAAAAAACACCUGUUUUAAUUGCAGUCUCUUACAUAACUGGAUAAAACUUCUCACAGACGCUUUAACAAAAUGUAAAAAUGCUUCCCAGCAUUAGGCCCCUGUAUUCCUGAUUCAUACUGCUUCAUUUUAAAUGACAGAGAUUAAAAACCUCUACGUGUCAAAAUUGACUAAUAUUUAAGUGUUU